Molecule: long non-coding RNA, 1907 nt
Organism: Cydia splendana
Lineage: Eukaryota; Metazoa; Arthropoda; Insecta; Lepidoptera; Tortricidae
Exons: 2
Source: RefSeq, a predicted model, not a curated record
ACAAUAAUUUUGGAUCACAACCAAAUCACAACACACUUUUUAUUUAUUCUAUUUUUCAUAACACGUUUUGAAAAAUUUCAAGAGAAUUUUGUAACAAAUGUUUUUGACCGAAGCGCUAAAUCUUUCAAGAGUUUUUUGGUAAUUUUUUUUGUAAUUUUCUUAUUUAACUUAACAAUUUUAAAAAAUGCAGUGAAUACGGACCAAACAAGAUACGAAGAGGAACCGAUGUAAAGAGUUGAAAACAUGCGAAUAAUUUACUAUAGAACAUUUUGAAUAAAAAAACCUGGCUAACGCCAGCUAUUGAAUAGUGUCCUGUCGUCGCACAUGAUACGAGUAUCCCGGCCGCGAUUGCUGGCCGCGCGGCCGCUGCUGGUCCGGUAUCCGGCGCCGGUAUCCGCACUGUCUCCGCGUACACAGCGCCCAUCGUGGCUAAAAACACGGCCGGUGCUACGAGCGAAUGAUGCCGCCGGGCGCCGCCGCUGCUGCAUCGGCUGUGUCGCUAAACUAGUCGACUCCUUCCUUAUUAAUUACUCAUAAGUAUGUAUAAGUGAUCAUGUUAAUUCCGAUUGAAUUGUUCAUGCAUACGUUUAGAAUUAUUUUUAUCGUGUUUACUUCUACUUUAACUUUGUUUAACGGUUUUUCCAUCAUACCUAAAAUUUCGCUAAUUAACCCUGUAACUCUUCGACCGUCAAAGACGUCCACAGGGACGCACAGUUACAUUUAUUCAUUCCAAUAAGGUUUACUUUGGAAUGUUAUAUAAAAUAGCCGUGGCGUAAACGCCAUGUGACUCCCCUGCAGCCAUGCAGCUGCAAGCGUCAUCAGGCGGCCUUUAUGCUUGUUUGUCACCGAGUUGGUUUAAAAAAGUAUCUCGAUAACUUUUUUAUAACAUUCUAACACAAUUAAACAUUGUGCGUAGAUAACGUACACAUUAAAAAAAAUGUAAAUAUAAGAAAUUAUUCCAUACGUUUUGUAGACGAAAGCCAUAAUGUAAAUACGAAAAAAAUCUUCUAAAUGUGACUUUACUCAUGUAUACAGAGACAAAGUACGAAUAAUGGACAAUAUUCCUAUAGGUACUUAAUGAUUUAUUUUACAUACCUAAUAAAUAGUUCAGUCAGAAUGACAUGAAUUCAUUGAUAUAGAAUAAGAACUGGAUACCCAAUCAGCCGCAAAAAAUGGCCCCGCAAAAGUAACGUUAAAACAGAUCACGCGUUACUUUUUCGUUUAGUCUUGUAUGGACCGCUCAAAUGUGAAGUUGUCAACAAUGUCGUUAAAAUAUGCAAAAAUAACAAUGAUAAAACAAGGAAAAAGCAUGGAAUGUAUUUCUUUCGGUUAGUGCUUUGGAUAGCAUUACAUAAUUUAUGUAAUCUGGUGGUAAUUUCAUGGUUUUGAUUAAAUUAUUUUUCAUAUCUCAUGCUCUGAAAGUGGGUCGUUGUUGUUCUAAAAGGUGCGCAGAAAGUGAUACGUUUAUGCUCUAGCGCAGAAAAGUGGUGUACUCCUCUGCGUCCCCGUCCCACGAACAACUGGGUGGAAACAAAAUGGAAAAAUAGUGUCUUUAUUUCCUCGCCAGGAACAAUUGGUAAUUGUUUAAUUUUACUAAUCCCACGUUGAUCCUUUGAUUUAUAAAAAAUUAUGUAAGUAAAUUGUUAAAAACAAAUUAUUCUUGAUUUCUUUCGUUGAAUUCUAUUUACUCGAUUUCAUAAGGCGGGAACCAAAAGGAGUACACCAAAAAUAUUUUUUUAAACCUUACGCUUGCGUAAAUGAGCAAAGGCAGAAUCUUAUACAGCCACAGUUAAAUGUUUGUACGAUAUUAAAUUGGUUUUUAAAGUUAUUUAGCACUAUAUUCAUGAAAAUAAAAUAAAAUACAAGAUAAAAAAUUCUUAUAUUAUUAAUUAAAUUGUUAUUUAAUA